Molecule: ribosomal RNA, 508 nt
Filed under: uncultured bacterium
Lineage: Bacteria
Description: partial 16S ribosomal RNA
Rfam family: Bacterial small subunit ribosomal RNA
Source: RNAcentral
GACGAACGCUGGCGGCGUGCCUAAUACAUGCAAGUCGAACGCUUCUUUCCUCCCGAGUGCUUGCACUCGAUUGGAAAGAGGAGUGGCGGACGGGUGAGUAACACGUGGGUAACCUACCCAUCAGAGGGGGAUAACACUUGGAAACAGGUGCUAAUACCGCAUAACAGUUUAUGCCGCAUGGCAUAAGAGUGCAAGGCGCUUUCGGGUGUCGCUGAUGGAUGGACCCGCGGUGCAUUAGCUAGUUGGUGAGGUAACGGCUCACCAAGGCCACGAUGCGUAGCCGACCUGAGAGGGUGAUCGGCCACACUGGGACUGAGACACGGCCCAGACUCCUACGGGAGGCAGCAGUAGGGAAUCUUCGGCAAUGGACGAAAGUCUGACCGAGCAACGCCGCGUGAGUGAAGAAGGUUUUCGGAUCGUAAAACUCUGUUGUUAGAGAAGAACAAGGACGUUAGUAACUGAACGUCCCCUGACGGUAUCUAACCAGAAAGCCACGGCUAACUACGUG